AGAGUUCGAUUCUGGCUCAGGAUGAACGCUGGCGGCGUGCUUAACACAUGCAAGUCGAGCGAAGCACUUAUGAUGAUCCUUCGGGUGAAUCAUUUGUGACUGAGCGGCGGACGGGUGAGUAACGCGUGGGUAACCUGCCUCAUACAGGGGAAUAACAGUUAGAAAUGACUGCUAAUGCCGCAUAAGCGCACAGGGCCGCAUGGCCCGGUGUGAAAAACUCCGGUGGUAUGAGAUGGACUCGCGUCUGAUUAGCUAGUUGGUGAGGUAACGGCCCACCAAAGCGACAAUCAGUAGCCGGCCUGAGAGGGUGAACGGCCACAUUGGGACUGAGACACGGCCCAA
Molecule: ribosomal RNA, 342 nt
Filed under: uncultured bacterium
Lineage: Bacteria
Description: bacterial SSU rRNA
Rfam family: Bacterial small subunit ribosomal RNA
Source: RNAcentral